CCUACGGGAGGCAGCAGUGAGGAAUAUUGGACAAUGGGCGAGAGCCUGAUCCAGCCAUGCUGCGUGCAGGAAGACGGCCCUAUGGGUUGUAAACUGCUUUUAUACAGGAAGAAACACUCCCUCGUGAGGGAGCUUGACGGUACCGUAAGAAUAAGGAUCGGCUAACUCCGUGCCAGCAGCCGCGGUAAUAA
This 191-nucleotide ribosomal RNA is filed under the name uncultured bacterium. RNAcentral's name for it is "partial 16S ribosomal RNA". It matches the Rfam family "Bacterial small subunit ribosomal RNA", at positions 338 to 526 of the family's 1533-position model. The record is from RNAcentral.